RNAcentral lists this non-coding RNA (186 nucleotides) under Gammaproteobacteria bacterium. RNAcentral describes it as "6S RNA". It matches the Rfam family "6S / SsrS RNA". From Rfam's summary of the family: E. coli 6S RNA was the first non coding RNA to be sequenced, but its function was unknown until recently. It consists of 184 nucleotides that fold into an extended hairpin structure with a large single-stranded internal bulge. The record is from RNAcentral. Lineage: Bacteria; Pseudomonadati; Pseudomonadota; Gammaproteobacteria.
UGUUCUCUGUGUUGUACGCGUACAGGCUGGAUAAUCCUUGAGCCUAUAAUCGAUGUAGCUAGGAACUGAUCCGUCGGCGAUGUUGCGCAAGGCCGCAGCUUAGCGGAAAGCCUGAUUCGCCGCGAAAGGUUCCGCCUUGAACCUUUGGUUCAAGUUUACGGCCGGUCGCGGCAUCGUGGAGAACAC